Molecule: unclassified non-coding RNA, 148 nt
Filed under: uncultured Helminthosporium
Lineage: Eukaryota; Fungi; Ascomycota
Description: sequence contains ITS2
Source: RNAcentral
ACACCCUCAAGCCUGGCUUGGUAUUGGGCUCCCGCCCGAGUGGGCGGGGCCUGGAACGCCUGCGGUGGGCGCUGGUCCCCUCUCUUGCACCAGAAGGAGCAUCUUCACGCAGGAGGGGGCCCCAGCCGCCGUCCGGAAAGCACCAAUC